GGCUAGGUGGCAGAGUGGUUAUGCAGCGGCCUGCAAAGCCGUGUACACCGGUUCGAUUCCGGUCCUAGCCUCCA
RNAcentral lists this transfer RNA (74 nucleotides) under Gammaproteobacteria bacterium. Its description in RNAcentral is "tRNA-Cys". It matches the Rfam family "tRNA". Rfam says of the family: Transfer RNA (tRNA) molecules are approximately 80 nucleotides in length. Their secondary structure includes four short double-helical elements and three loops (D, anti-codon, and T loops). RNAcentral also lists the same sequence under 2 other names. The record is from RNAcentral. Lineage: Bacteria; Pseudomonadati; Pseudomonadota; Gammaproteobacteria.